AUUCCCUUAGCUCUCCAUUCUGGUUAGCUAAUGGAAACGUGACUGUAAUCAUCAACUCCAUUUAUCUUUUGGAUAGAGAUUUCCAAAAGAAAUUAGAUGGAUGUGUUUUCAGUUAAAGCUGUCUUUUCAGAAGGCUGGACAGUAAAGCGUCACUGAAAAUAAAACAAAUACUGACAACAAAACACUCUUUGCUUGAUAUAGUGUUCUUUAGUGCCUCUAGGCAAGUGUGAAUAGUAUUAGCACACCCAGUGCUCUGCAUACUCAAGGGUGGGG
Molecule: long non-coding RNA, 273 nt
Filed under: Bos taurus (domestic cattle)
Lineage: Eukaryota; Metazoa; Chordata; Mammalia; Artiodactyla; Bovidae
Description: long non-coding RNA NONBTAT015055
Source: RNAcentral